GAUAAACGCUGGCGGCGUGCCUAACACAUGCAAGUCGAACGAAGCUCUCUGAAUUGAGUUUUCGGACAAGAGGAAGAGAUGACUUAGUGGCGGACGGGUGAGUAAUGCGUGAGCAACCCGCCUUUCAGAGGGGGACAACAGUUGGAAACGACUGCUAAUACCGCAUAAUGUAUUUUGAUGGCAUCAUCGAAAUACCAAAGAUUAUAUCGCUGAAAGAUGGGCUGACGUCUGAUUAGCUAGUUGGUGAGGUAACGGCUCACCAAGGCUGCGAUCAGUAGCCGGACUGAGAGGUCGAACGGCCACAUUGGGACUGAGAUACGGCCCAGACUCCUACGGGAGGCAGCAGUGGGGAAUAUUGGGCAAUGGGCGCAAGCCUGACCCAGCAACGCCGCGUGAAGGAAGAAGGCUUUCGGGUUGUAAACUUCUUUUGGCAGGGACGAAACAAAUGACGGUACCUGCAGAAUAAGCACCGGCUAACUACGUGCCAGCCGCCGCCGUAA
This 500-nucleotide ribosomal RNA is filed under the name uncultured bacterium. RNAcentral's name for it is "partial 16S ribosomal RNA". It matches the Rfam family "Bacterial small subunit ribosomal RNA", at positions 28 to 523 of the family's 1533-position model. The record is from RNAcentral.